GAUGAACGCUGGCGGCGUGCCUAAUACAUGCAAGUCGAGCGAACAGACGAGGAGCUUGCUCCUCUGACGUUAGCGGCGGACGGGUGAGUAACACGUGGAUAACCUACCUAUAAGACUGGGAUAACUUCGGGAAACCGGAGCUAAUACCGGAUAAUAUAUUGAACCGCAUGGUUCAAUAGUGAAAGACGGUUUUGCUGUCACUUAUAGAUGGAUCCGCGCCGCAUUAGCUAGUUGGUAAGGUAACGGCUUACCAAGGCAACGAUGCGUAGCCGACCUGAGAGGGUGAUCGGCCACACUGGAACUGAGACACGGUCCAGACUCCUACGAGAGGCAGCAGUAGGGAAUCGUCCGCAAUAGGCGAAAGCCUGACGGAGCAACGCCGCGUGAGUGAUGAAGGUCUUCGGAUCGUAAAACUCUGUUAUUAGGGAAGAACAAAUGUGUAAGUAACUAUGCACGUCUUGACGGUACCUAAUCAGAAAGCCACGGCUAACUACGUG
This 497-nucleotide ribosomal RNA is filed under the name uncultured bacterium. RNAcentral's name for it is "partial 16S ribosomal RNA". It matches the Rfam family "Bacterial small subunit ribosomal RNA", at positions 28 to 507 of the family's 1533-position model. The record is from RNAcentral.